RNAcentral lists this small RNA (571 nucleotides) under Pongo abelii (Sumatran orangutan). Its description in RNAcentral is "retained intron". The record is from RNAcentral. Lineage: Eukaryota; Metazoa; Chordata; Mammalia; Primates; Hominidae.
UGGUCUGGGUCACCCUAGUCUCCUGGUCUUGGAGAAGUCAAGUUCUUAUCCCAGACUUGAGAGGUUACAAGCCUCCAGGUCUCUGGCAAAGUGUGGAGAUGAUGGACAGCCAUUGGUACACACACCAGCCAAUCCCUUAGCAUAUCUCUCUCGGUUUUGUCUCAGGUCUGCCUCAGCCACCUCCCUGACGCUGUCCCACUGUGUGGAUGUGGUGAAGGGGCUUCUGGAUUUUAAGAAGAGGAGAGGUCACUCAAUUGGGGGAGCCCCUGAGCAGCGAUACCAGAUCAUCCCUGUGUGUGUGGCCGCCCGACUUCCUACCCGGGCUCAGGAUGUGCUGCAGCCUCCUGGCCACUGGAGGGGCUGACCGCCUGAUCCACCUCUGGAAUGUUGUGGGAAGUCGCCUGGAGGCCAACCAGACCCUGGAGGGAGCUGGUGGCAGCAUCACCAGUGUGGACUUUGACCCCUCGGGCUACCAGGUUUUAGCAGCAACUUACAACCAGGCUGCCCAGCUCUGGAAGGUGGGGGAGGCACAGUCCAAGGAGACAUUGUCUGGACACAAGGAUAAGGUGAC